RNAcentral lists this ribosomal RNA (362 nucleotides) under uncultured bacterium. RNAcentral describes it as "bacterial SSU rRNA". It matches the Rfam family "Bacterial small subunit ribosomal RNA", at positions 28 to 394 of the family's 1533-position model. The record is from RNAcentral.
GACGAACGCUGGCGGCGUGCUUAACACAUGCAAGUCGAGCGGAAAGGCCCUUUCGGGGGUACUCGAGCGGCGAACGGGUGAGUAACACGUGAGUAAUCUGCCCUUGGCUUUGGGAUAACCACCGGAACGGUGGCUAAUACCGGAUAUGACGGGCUCCGGCAUCGGGGUUCGUGGAAAGUUUUUUCGGCCAGGGAUGUGCUCGCGGCCUAUCAGCUUGUUGGUGGGUAAUGGCCUACCAAGGCUUCGACGGGUAGCCGGCCUGAGAGGGUGACCGGCCACACUGGGACUGAGACACGGCCCAGACUCCUACGGGAGGCAGCAGUGGGGAAUAUUGGACAAUGGGCGGAAGCCUGAUCCAGCAA